GACGAACGCUGGGCGGCGUGCCUAACACAUGCAAGUCGAACGGAGUACCUUCGGGGUGCUUAGUGGCGAACGGGUGAGUAACGCGUGAGAAACCUACCUUUCAGUGGGGGACAACAGUUGGAAACGACUGCUAAUACCGCAUAAUGUUAUCGUGGGGGCACUCCCCGGGUAACCAAAGAUUUAUUGCUGAAAGAUGGUCUCGCGUCUGAUUAGCUAGUUGGUGAGGUAACGGCUCACCAAGGCGACGAUCAGUAGCCGGUCUGAGAGGAUGAACGGCCACAUUGGGACUGAGAUACGGCCCAGACUCCUACGGGAGGCAGCAGGUGGGGAAUAUUGGGCAAUGGGGGAAACCCUGACCCAGCAACGCCGCGUGAAGGAAGAAGGCCUUCGGGUUGUAAACUUCUUUUACCAGGGACGAACAAAUGACGGUACCUGGAGAAAAAGCAACGGCUAACUACGUG
This 461-nucleotide ribosomal RNA is filed under the name uncultured bacterium. RNAcentral describes it as "bacterial SSU rRNA". It matches the Rfam family "Bacterial small subunit ribosomal RNA", at positions 28 to 507 of the family's 1533-position model. The record is from RNAcentral.